GGGCCAAAAACAAACAAGGGAGACAGACUAGCGACAGAAAAGCCGAUCAGCUGAUCAUUAAUCAGUUUCAUGAUUGAAGUAGCAGCAAAAAGAGGCAGUCGCUCCAUAUAUCGGUUGUUAAGCUUAACGUGGGAAUGCUUUACAAACAUUCAGAGAUGAACUUACACACUUGCUUUACUUCUCUCUGGGAUCACUUCCUCGGAGAUGAAAUGCCGGUUUGGUAGCGAGGCUCCAAAUACACACAGUUACGCCAUGUCGCAAGUUUUGUGAGGUGCUUUUUUGAUAUUUAACGGAUCGGAUUACAUUUUUUAUUUCUCUCCGAUAUCCGAUCCAGUAAUUUACGUCAGUAUCGGACCGAUACCGAUACUAAAUAUCGGAUCGGUCCAUCUCUAAUAAUGACUUGAACCCAUAACUCCAUAGGAUCUGUUUUACACUGAUUUCGAGUCCAGUUCUUGUGUAAUUUGGCAAACCUUAGCCUUUUCUCCCUGCUUUCCUUCCUUAGAACUGGCUUUUUAACAGCGACCCUUCAGCUGAGACUAUUUCUGAUGAGGCUUCAGUGAACAGUAGAUGGAUAAACUGAAGGCUCACGUACAGCUGUCUGGUCCUGUAUCGGGCCUUUGCUGGAUUUAUUUUAUCCUAUUUCUUCAUGAUUUUACGAUACUGUUCAUCUGCUGCAGAUAGUUUUUUUUUUUUAGGAUUUUUUUCCUCCACUUGUUCAAUUUCCUCAAUACGGGCUAAUAGCUUUUCUGGAAUCACCUUGUUUGUGCCAAAAUACUAUUUCAUGUUUGUCAAAGUAUGUUUUUUGGGGGCAUUUUUCACAGAUUGAACUAAAGAAAAGGGAACAAAUAUGUGCUUUUACAACAGGUUGUAGUAACAAAGUGCCUGAAGAUAGCUGUCUUUUAUAUGUUGACACAAAAUUAGUUAACCCCUCGAGUUAGAUUCCUUUUUAUGUUUGGAUGAUUCAUAGGCCAGUGUUAAUGGGCUUAAAAAACAAACAAACAAAAUAUUCCUUUGAAAAUGGUCAACUGCUAGACUAAAAAUCUGGUAAAAAUGAGUCAAUGUCAAAGGAAAACUUUGAAAGACCCCUAAAAAG
Astatotilapia calliptera (eastern happy) is the source of this 1093-nucleotide long non-coding RNA. The record is from Ensembl. Lineage: Eukaryota; Metazoa; Chordata; Actinopteri; Cichliformes; Cichlidae.